AGUCCACGCCCUAAACGAUGUCUACUAGUUGUCGGGUUUUAAUUAACUUGGUAACGCAGCUAACGCGUGAAGUAGACCGCCUGGGGAGUACGGUCGCAAGAUUAAAACUCAAAGGAAUUGACGGGGACCCGCACAAGCGGUGGAUGAUGUGGAUUAAUUCGAUGCAACGCGAAAAACCUUACCUACCCUUGACAUGGAAGGAAUCCCCGAGAGAUUGGGGAGUGCUCGAAAGAGAACCUUUACACAGGUGCUGCAUGGCUGUCGUCAGCUCGUGUCGUGAGAUGUUGGGUUAAGUCCCGCAACGAGCGCAACCCUUGUCAUUAGUUGCUACGAAAGAGCACUCUAAUGAGACUGCCGGUGACAAACCGGAGGAAGGUGGGGAUGACGUCAAGUCCUCAUGGCCCUUAUGGGUAGGGCUUCACACGUCAUACAAUGGUACAUACAGAGGGCCGCCAACCCGCGAGGGGGAGCUAAUCCCAGAAAGUGUAUCGUAGUCCGGAUUGUAGUCUGCAACUCGACUACAUGAAGUUGGAAUCGCUAGUAAUCGCGGAUCAGCAUGUCGCGGUGAUACGUUCCCGGUCUUGCACACACCGCC
RNAcentral lists this ribosomal RNA (595 nucleotides) under uncultured Duganella sp. RNAcentral's name for it is "bacterial SSU rRNA". It matches the Rfam family "Bacterial small subunit ribosomal RNA", at positions 792 to 1394 of the family's 1533-position model. Lineage: Bacteria; Pseudomonadati; Pseudomonadota; Betaproteobacteria; Burkholderiales; Oxalobacteraceae. The record is from RNAcentral.